CAGGAAUCCAGCUCAGGUUACGAGUGACCGACAGUUGCUACCAUCUACUGGCUGUUUGUGAUCCUGUGUGAAACAACAGGGCAUUGAGACUCCUUCCUGGUCCUGUCGGCCCAGUCGUGGACAAAUGGCUUCUGUCUGGUUGGCAAUCUGACCAAAAGCUUGUUGGGAUUGGCACCCAACAAGGGAGGUAACACUUUCAUGAGUCAUUUGAGUAGGUCUUUGGCUCCUGUAUCAUGUGUUCUGGGAGUGUUUUGAAGUCCUUUUGAAACAGAAGAACAACAGGGACUAAAUUUUGAUACUUUUUUUUUUCUCACUCACACUGAAAAGACUAACCCUGGAAGAGUAAAGGCAAGUCCACAAUCCGUCCAAAACACAGACUCUACAAGGAAUCCAUAGACAUAUUUUGUUUAUUAGUGCCCAUUCAGCUUUGGAUCAAUUGAGUGUGAAGGACAGUGGGAGAGGAGACAGUGAAUUUAAUGACUGUGAGUCUGAUAUCAUUGGAGAAAGGUUAAAGAAGCCACCUUCAGAGAUGAUGGAAAACCAGGUUGGAAAGUAUAAAACUAACAUCUCAAUUUUGGAGUGCAAGACAUAAAUGAAGGCAAUGAGCUGAAACAAACCUUGGUCUGCUUUGCAAAGCCCCUGGCUGAAGAAAGGUAGGAGUAGACAGAAAAACAGGGCUGUCUGACCCCUUAGUUCCUAGCAUCCCUG
RNAcentral lists this long non-coding RNA (708 nucleotides) under Anser brachyrhynchus (Pink-footed goose). RNAcentral describes it as "lncRNA (ENSABRG00000003624.1)". The record is from RNAcentral. Lineage: Eukaryota; Metazoa; Chordata; Aves; Anseriformes; Anatidae.